UUUUAACGGCCGCGGUACUCUGACCGUGCAAAGGUAGCAUAAUCAUUUGCCUUAUAAUUGAAGGCUAGAAUGAAUGGUUUGACAAGAAUACAACUGUCUCUUUACAAUUACAUAAAAUUUUAUCUGCAGUUGAAGAAGCCUGCAUUUGAAUAAAAGACAAGAAGACCCUAUCGAGCUUAAAAAAAACUGGUGGAAUAACAAACUAAUCCUAACUUAUAAAUAAAUAAAUAGUCAACUACUGGAAAUUUUGGUUGGGGCGACCGGGGAACAAAAAAAACUUCCUUUAUAAAAAUUUAGAUGCCCAAAUAUUGAUCCAGCAUUAUUUGAUUAAAGAAAUUAGUUACCGUAGGGAUAACAGCAUUAUCUUUUUUAAGAGUUCUUAUCGAAAAAAAGGUUUGUGACCUCGAUGUUGGACCAGAAUAUCCUAAAGAUGCAGCCGUCUUUAAGGGUUGGUCUGUUCGACCAUUAAAAUUCUACGUGAUCUGAGUUCAGACCGGA
This 498-nucleotide ribosomal RNA is filed under the name Turbinella rapa. RNAcentral describes it as "partial 16S ribosomal RNA". It matches the Rfam family "Bacterial large subunit ribosomal RNA", at positions 1922 to 2620 of the family's 2925-position model. The record is from RNAcentral. Lineage: Eukaryota; Metazoa; Mollusca; Gastropoda; Neogastropoda; Turbinellidae.